GUGUGUUUGCGUUUGACUGUGGUUGCAACUUUAAUUACACCUUUGCACAUACACUUGUGUGUUUUGUUUUAAUUAGUCAAAAAGUUUUAAAACACCCAAUUCACCCCCCUCUUGGGUGACCAUCUCUGGGCAACAGAACAAAAAUGGGAUAAUGCAGAUGACUUCUAUCCCUUGAUCCUUGGACGUGGCAGUUAUCUUACGGAUGAUGAUUUGAGUCUAUCCGUGGCUGAUGGAGCUAAACUUCGGUUGAGCAGCUGAGAACGGAAGAACGGCUGGGACGCAAGCAUUUGAGAGGAUUUCGGAAGUUGGGAUCUGAUCAUUUCUUUCAAGCAUGAGAUCCUGUUCUGAAGCCGAGAAUGAUGCAGUUGCUUGUGAAUGGUUGGAUGCGGACGGUGGAUGCUUGAAUCUAAGGGAGAUGAUGUCUA
This 425-nucleotide long non-coding RNA is filed under the name Phoenix dactylifera (date palm). RNAcentral's name for it is "long non-coding RNA (PDAC_LNC001729)". The record is from RNAcentral. Lineage: Eukaryota; Viridiplantae; Streptophyta; Magnoliopsida; Arecales; Arecaceae.